This 494-nucleotide ribosomal RNA is filed under the name Mesobacillus subterraneus. RNAcentral's name for it is "bacterial SSU rRNA". It matches the Rfam family "Bacterial small subunit ribosomal RNA", at positions 70 to 549 of the family's 1533-position model. The record is from RNAcentral. Lineage: Bacteria; Bacillati; Bacillota; Bacilli; Caryophanales; Bacillaceae.
CUUCAUUAGCUUGCUUUUGAAGAUCAGCGGCGGACGGGUGAGUAACACGUGGGCAACCUGCCUGUAAGACUGGGAUAACUUCGGGAAACCGGAGCUAAUACCGGAUAAUCCUUUUCCUCUCAUGAGGAAAAGCUGAAAGACGGUUUCGGCUGUCACUUACAGAUGGGCCCGCGGCGCAUUAGCUAGUUGGUGAGGUAACGGCUCACCAAGGCGACGAUGCGUAGCCGACCUGAGAGGGUGAUCGGCCACACUGGGACUGAGACACGGCCCAGACUCCUACGGGAGGCAGCAGUAGGGAAUCUUCCGCAAUGGACGAAAGUCUGACGGAGCAACGCCGCGUGAGCGAUGAAGGCCUUCGGGUCGUAAAGCUCUGUUGUCAGGGAAGAACAAGUAUCGGAGUAACUGCCGGUACCUUGACGGUACCUGACCAGAAAGCCACGGCUAACUACGUGCCCGCAGCCGCGGUAAUACAUAAGUGGCAAGCGUUGUCCGGA